RNAcentral lists this ribosomal RNA (1401 nucleotides) under uncultured bacterium. Its description in RNAcentral is "16S ribosomal RNA". It matches the Rfam family "Bacterial small subunit ribosomal RNA", at positions 23 to 1398 of the family's 1533-position model. The record is from RNAcentral.
CUCAGGCCAAACGCCGGCCGCCUGCCUACAACAUGCAAGUCCAAACGAAAGGGCCUUACCUUUUUCUGUGGGGGUGCCUCAGUGGCCAACCGGUGAGUCAACACUGGGUUGAUCUGCCCGCCACUUGGGAUAAGCCUCGGGAAAACUGGGUUUAAUACCGGAUAGGACCAUGGUUUAGUGUCUCAUGGUGGAAAAAAUUAUUGUUUUUGGUCGCAGGAUGAGCUUCCGGCCUAUCAGCUUCGUUGGUGGGGUAAUGGCCUACCAAGGCGUUCACGGGUAGCCGGCCUGAGAGGGUGGACGGCCACAUUGGGACUGAGAUACGGCCCAGACUCCUACGGGAGGCAGCAGUGGGGAAAUAUUUGCACAAUGGGCGCAAGCCUGAUGCAGCCACCCUCCCUGGGGGAAGACGGCCUUCGGGUUUGUAAACUCCUUUCGUUAGGGACGAAGCCGCACCUGUUUUGGGUGUGGUGACGGUACCUUUUGUUAAGAAGCACCGGCUAACUACGUGCCAGCAGCCGCGGUAAUACGUAGGGUGCGAGCGUUGUCCGGAAUUACUGGGCGUAAAGAGCUCGUAGGUGGUUUGUUGCGUCGUCUGUGAAAUUCCGGGGCUUAACUUCGGGGUGGCAGGCGAUACGGGCAUAACUAGAGUGCUGUAGGGGAGACUGGAAUUCCUGGUGUAGCGGUGGAAUGCGCAGAUAUCAGGAGGAACACCGAUGGCGAAGGCAGGUCUCUGGGCAGUAACUGACGCUGAGGAGCGAAAGCAUGGGGAGCGAACAGGAUUAGAUACCCUGGUAGUCCAUGCUGUAAACGGUGGGCGUUAGGUGUGGGGACCGGUUUGGUUUCUGUGCCGUAGCUAACGCAUUAAGCGCCCCGCCUGGGGAGUACGGCCGCAAGGCUAAAACUCAAAGGAAUUGACGGGGGCCCGCACAAGCGGCGGAGCAUGUGGAUUAAUUCGAUGCAACGCGAAGAACCUUACCUGGGUUUGACAUGCACCAGACGGUUGUAGAGAUACGUACCUCCCUUUGUGGUUGGUGUGCAGGUGGUGCAUGGUUGUCGUCAGCUCGUGUCGUGAGAUGUUGGGUUAAGUCCCGCAACGAGCGCAACCCUUGUCUUAUGUUGCCAGCACGUUUGGGUGGGGACUCAUGAGAGACUGCCGGGGUUAACUCGGAGGAAGGUGGGGAUGACGUCAAAUCAUCAUGCCCUUUAUGCCCAGGGCUUCACACAUGCUACAAUGGUUAGUACAACGCGCUGCGAGCCUGUGAGGGUGAGCGAAUCGCUGAAAGCUAAUCUCAGUUCGGAUUGGGGUCUGCAACUCGACCCCAUGAAGUCGGAGUCGCUAGUAAUCGCAGAUCAGCAAUGCUGCGGUGAAUACGUUCCCGGGCCUUGUACACACCGCCCGUC